CGCAACCCUCGCUGUGUGUUACAAGUGUCACACAGGACCGCCGGUCUUAAGCCGGAGGAAGGUGGGGAGUGACGUCAGGUCAGCAUGGCCUUUAUGUCCAGGGCUACACACACGCUACAAUGGUCAGCACAAUAGGUAGCCAAGCCGCGAGGUGGAGCCAAUCCUCAAAGCUGGCCUCAGUUCAGAUCGCAGGCUGCAACCCGCCUGCGUGAAGCCGGAGUUGCUAGUAACCGCAGGUCAGCUAUACUGCGGUGAAUACGUUCCCGGGGGCUU
This 273-nucleotide ribosomal RNA is filed under the name uncultured Fastidiosipila sp. Its description in RNAcentral is "partial 16S ribosomal RNA". It matches the Rfam family "Bacterial small subunit ribosomal RNA", at positions 1097 to 1378 of the family's 1533-position model. Lineage: Bacteria; Bacillati; Bacillota; Clostridia; Eubacteriales; Oscillospiraceae. The record is from RNAcentral.